GGGGAAUCUUCCGCAAUGGACGAAAGUCUGACGGAGCAACGCCGCGUGAGUGAUGACGGCCUUCGGGUUGUAAAGCUCUGUUAAUCGGGACGAAAGGUCUUCUUGCGAAUAGUUAGAAGAAUUGACGGUACCGGAAUAGAAAGCCACGGCUAACUACGUGCCAGCAGCCGCGGUAAUACGUAGGUGGCAAGCGUUGUCCGGAAUUAUUGGGCGUAAAGCGCGCGCAGGCGGAUCAGUCAGUCUGUCUUAAAAGUUCGGGGCUUAACCCCGUGAUGGGAUGGAAACUGCUGAUCUAGAGUAUCGGAGAGGAAAGUGGAAUUCCUAGUGUAGCGGUGAAAUGCGUAGAUAUUAGGAAGAACACCAGUGGCGAAGGCGACUUUCUGGACGAAAACUGACGCUGAGGCGCGAAAGCCAGGGGAGCGAACGGGAUUAGAUACCCCGGUAGUCCUGGCCGUAAACGAUGGGUACUAGGUGUAGGAGGUAUCGACCCCUUCUGUGCCGGAGUUAACGCAAUAAGCAUUCCGCCUGGGGAGUACGGUCGCAAGACUG
Molecule: ribosomal RNA, 549 nt
Filed under: uncultured bacterium
Lineage: Bacteria
Description: bacterial SSU rRNA
Rfam family: Bacterial small subunit ribosomal RNA
Source: RNAcentral